RNAcentral lists this ribosomal RNA (314 nucleotides) under uncultured Lactobacillus sp. RNAcentral's name for it is "bacterial SSU rRNA". It matches the Rfam family "Bacterial small subunit ribosomal RNA", at positions 225 to 524 of the family's 1533-position model. The record is from RNAcentral. Lineage: Bacteria; Bacillati; Bacillota; Bacilli; Lactobacillales; Lactobacillaceae.
UGGACCUCGCGGUGCAUUAGCUAGUUGGUAGGGUAACGGCCUACCAAGGCGAUGAUGCAUAGCCCGAGUUGAGAGACUGAUCGGGCCACAUUGGGGACUGAGACACGGGCCCAAAAACUCCUACGGGGAGGCAGCAGUAGGGAAUCUUCCACAAUGGACGCAAGUCUGAUGGAGCAACGCCGCGUGAGUGAAGAAGGGUUUCGGCUCGUAAAGCUCUGUUGUUGGUGAAGAAGGACAGGGGUAGUAACUGACCUUUGUUUGACGGUAAUCAAUUAGAAAGUCACGGCUAACUACGUGCCAGCAGCCGCGGUAAU